Mesocricetus auratus (golden hamster) is the source of this 612-nucleotide long non-coding RNA. RefSeq lists it as uncharacterized. The record is from RefSeq and is a predicted model, not a curated record. The transcript is spliced from 5 exons. NCBI's taxonomy places the organism in Eukaryota, Metazoa, Chordata, Mammalia, Rodentia, Cricetidae.
UCAAGAUGUAACGCCAUGGGGUAGGAAGCCUGGAACUAUUCUCCGACUGGAUCCAAAGCCGUUAUCAACAGCUCCGGUCUCUCUGUAAGCGUCUGCUCUCACCAAGGCUCUGGCCACUCCUGUGAUCGCCCUACCUACCUAAGAUGACCAAGUCGGGUUCAGGACCCCUGGCUCUUCGCUAUAAUUGUGAAAAGGUGUUUCCUUCACCGUGAAAUAAUCAUAACAUCACCUGCGUGAGACUUGCUAUGAGUGUAUGUCUGAGUGCCAUGUCUGAGUGUGCAAAGCCCUUGGAGGUCAGAAGAGGACAGUGGAUCAUUCCCCCUGGACUGGGUUUACAGAAGGUUGUGAGCUAUCAUGAAGCCCAGACUAGCAACCAUGAUGGAGAAAAGGGAACACAGGAAAGCCUGACAGGUUCUGAGUGGUCUCUGCAUCUAGAAGUGUUUCCCCCAUCAAGAUGACAGAACCUCAUUCUAUGGCACAUGGGCAGCCAGCAUUUGGACUUGUGCAGUGUGACAUCUAUUUGGGAACACAGCCCCCUGCAACUCUGUGAAAGUCCUAGACACUCUGUCACGCUCCCUCUGGGAGGCCAGUAAGGUGGUCUGGUCCCAAACU